CCAGCGGAGGGAUCAUUACCGAGUUUACAACUCCCAAACCCAAUGUGAACCAUACCAAACUGUUGCCUCGGCGGGGUCACGCCCCGGGUGCGUCGCAGCCCCGGAACCAGGCGCCCGCCGGAGGGACCAACCAAACUCUUUUCUGUAGUCCCCUCGCGGACGUUAUUUCUUACAGCUCUGAGCAAAAAUUCAAAAUGAAUCAAAACUUUCAACAACGGAUCUCUUGGUUCUGGCAUCGAUGAAGAACGCAGCGAAAUGCGAUAAGUAAUGUGAAUUGCAGAAUUCAGUGAAUCAUCGAAUCUUUGAACGCACAUUGCGCCCGCCAGUAUUCUGGCGGGCAUGCCUGUCCGAGCGUCAUUUCAACCCUCGAACCCCUCCGGGGGGUCGGCGUUGGGGACCUCGGGAGCCCCUAAGACGGGAUCCCGGCCCCGAAAUACAGUGGCGGUCUCGCCGCAGCCUCUCCUGCGCAGUAGUUUGCACAACUCGCACCGGGAGCGCGGCGCGUCCACGUCCGUAAAACACCCAACUUCUGAAAUGUGACCUCGAUCAGUAGCUCCCAAAUU
Molecule: ribosomal RNA, 563 nt
Filed under: Trichoderma atroviride
Lineage: Eukaryota; Fungi; Ascomycota; Sordariomycetes; Hypocreales; Hypocreaceae
Description: eukaryotic LSU rRNA
Rfam family: 5.8S ribosomal RNA (bases 204-357)
Source: RNAcentral